This 351-nucleotide RNase P RNA is filed under the name Simkaniaceae bacterium. Its description in RNAcentral is "RNase P RNA component class A". It matches the Rfam family "Bacterial RNase P class A". Rfam says of the family: Ribonuclease P (RNase P) is a ubiquitous endoribonuclease, found in archaea, bacteria and eukarya as well as chloroplasts and mitochondria. Its best characterised activity is the generation of mature 5'-ends of tRNAs by cleaving the 5'-leader elements of precursor-tRNAs. Lineage: Bacteria; Pseudomonadati; Chlamydiota; Chlamydiia; Parachlamydiales; Simkaniaceae. The record is from RNAcentral.
UCGGAAAAGGGAGCAAUCGCUGCCGACGUGGAUGUCGGGAGAGGAAAGUCCGGACUUCAUAGAAAAAGGCGCCGGUGAAAUACCGGGGGCCGUGAGGCUACGGAAAGUGUAACAGAAAACAGACCGCCGACUCUUCGGUGUCGGACAGGGUGAAAAUGUCGGGCUUACGGUUCGACCUCUCUGCGGAGACGCAGAGCAAGCUAUAAACCCCGCCUGAAGCAAGGUUGGAAUGUAGAGAUUGUGUAAGCGAUCUUUGACGUUCCGUGUUGCCGCUCGAGGAUUCCGGUAACGGGAUCCCUAGAUGAAUGAUUGCUCACAAGACAGAAUCCGGCUUACCCCUUUUCCGGAUUU